AACGAACGCUGGCGGCAGGCCUAACACAUGCAAGUCGAACGCCGUAGCAAUACGGAGUGGCAGACGGGUGAGUAACGCGUGGGAACAUACCCCUCGGUUCGGAAUAACUCAGGGAAACUUGAGCUAAUACCGGAUACGUCCGAGGUUUUGAUCGACCUUGGAGAAAGAUUUAUCGCCGAAGGAUUGGCCCGCGUCUGAUUAGCUUGUUGGUGAGGUAAUGGCUCACCAAGGCGACGAUCAGUAGCUGGUCUGAGAGGAUGAUCAGCCACAUUGGGACUGAGACACGGCCCAAACUCCUACGGGAGGCAGCAGUGGGGAAUAUUGGACAAUGGGCGAAAGCCUGAUCCA
Molecule: ribosomal RNA, 348 nt
Filed under: uncultured bacterium
Lineage: Bacteria
Description: bacterial SSU rRNA
Rfam family: Bacterial small subunit ribosomal RNA
Source: RNAcentral